Molecule: unclassified non-coding RNA, 123 nt
Filed under: uncultured Hannaella
Lineage: Eukaryota; Fungi; Basidiomycota; Tremellomycetes; Tremellales; Bulleribasidiaceae
Description: partial internal transcribed spacer 2
Source: RNAcentral
UAGACUCAUCUAAUCGGGUUUCCGAUCUAGGUGCUUUGGACGUCUGCCGACUUUGGCUCGUCUUAAAUGUCUAAGUGGAAUGCGUAAUAAGUUAUCGCUCCCUCCACUCUAAUCACACUUUAG